UUGGUAUUGAAAGCUUUUAAUUUGUAUGGCAGUUCUCAUGUAACGGUUAUUAUACAAAUUAUUUCCCAUGUCUUGGCCUACACCAACUCCUGCAUAAAUCCCAUUUUAUAUGCCUUUUUAUCCGACAACUUUCGCAAGGCAUUUAGAAAGAUUGUCUGGUGCGGUAGUCCUCCACCCAUUAUAACAAAUCAACAAGUUACUAAAACAACGCGCACGGCAACCGGAAAUGGCACUUCAAACAUUGAUAUGCUGUAGAUAAACACUCAACAACUACAAUAUUCUAGCAGCAAUAGCAACCAUAACUACAACAUUAACAACAACAACAGCGGCUGCAGCAUUGACAACUAUAUAGGACGAUGACGGUGUAGACAAGGACUAUGAAAACAAGGACUACAACGAGGACGUUUUUAAAACAGAUUGCAAUUGUACAUUAGACAAACAGGUCAUAGAAGGAAACAAUAAAAACGUAACGGAAAAGUAAUUCAAUGGAAAAAAGAGACUCAAGUGUUAGCAACGCCACAGCUACGAACUACUAAAACCAUCUCUACCCAGACAAUGAUCACCAUCACGACGACUUUUAAUUGUAGCCUCAUGAACGAGGAAAAAAGGAAACCAAUAAAAAAAACACCAGCCAACACCGCCAACCAAAUCCAACAAUUUCCACAAGGAUGUGGAUUGAUUGUGUUGUGAGUGUGUGUGUGUGUUGGCUUGUAUGGCGGCAGAGGGUGUUAAAAGACCACAGACUUUAAAUUAAAAUACAAUUUUCAAAGGUUUCCUAAAAACCCGACCACAAAACGAAAAUUAAGCCAACAAUUAAAUUGCAAAAGAGAACAAAAACGAAUGAAGAAAUAUAUUCCUAAAAAUUAAAAAAAAAUAUUUGUAAAAUAGUAAAAUAAAUUAUAUAAGACAGGUUUUCAUUAAGAAUUGUUAUGAAUUUAAAAAAUAUAAAAAAAAACGUUAUUUUUAAUUUAACACUUUUUUUCCUAGAAUUUGGCCUAAUUUUUAAACAAUUUACAAAUUGUAGUUAUAAUAAAUAUAUUUACAGAGUAAAAUUUAAUUAUAAAAUUUAUAAAAAAAAAACAAAAAAACCAACAAACUUAAUUAAGUAUGAAAUAAUAAUUAUAUUUGACCAGCCAUUUAACCCACAAUAAACAAUUUUAAAUUGUAUUGUGAUAAAAUGGUGUUUGGUGGCAAAUUGUGUUAAAAAAAUGAGGAAAAAAUCUUAAUAAUAAAACAAAAAUAAAUAAAUUUAAAAUUUUAGAAAUAUA
Molecule: long non-coding RNA, 1268 nt
Organism: Lucilia sericata (common green bottle fly)
Lineage: Eukaryota; Metazoa; Arthropoda; Insecta; Diptera; Calliphoridae
Exons: 3
Source: RefSeq, a predicted model, not a curated record